Molecule: ribosomal RNA, 377 nt
Filed under: Amphiprion ocellaris (clown anemonefish)
Lineage: Eukaryota; Metazoa; Chordata; Actinopteri; Pomacentridae
Description: partial 16S rRNA
Source: RNAcentral
GCGAAGGUAGGGAAAUCCCUUGUUUUUUAAAUGAAAACCUGUUUGAAGGGCACGACAAGGGCUUACCUGUCUCCUUUUUCCAGUCAAUGAAAUUGAUCUUCCCGGGCAAAAGCGGGAAUAAUACCUUAAAACAAGAAAACCCGGGGGAGUUUCAAACACUAAAUCACCCCUUGCCCAAAAUCCCAAUUAAGGGAUUGAACACUAGAGGGAGACCUGAUUUAAGGUCUUCGGUGGGGGCGACCUGGGGAAAAAAAAAACCCCCCACGCGAACCAAAAUUCCCAUAUUUCAAAAACUAAAAGCCCCCCCUCAAAGUAUCAAAAAUUUUGACCAACUAUGUGAUCCGGUUUAACGCCAAUCAACGGACCGAGUUACCCCA